AUAUUUACCUGGCGUAGAGGGAUACCGUGCUCAUGCAGGCGGUUCCCCAGGACGAGGCUGCUCCAUUGCACUGCGGAGUGGUUGACUCUUGCGAUUAUUUUUAAUAAUAAAAAAAUCAUAAUUAUAAAUGUAUACCCGAAAAAUUAUUUUCUUUAUAA
This is a small nuclear RNA of Bombyx mandarina (wild silkworm), 158 nucleotides long. The record is from RefSeq and is a predicted model, not a curated record. NCBI's taxonomy places the organism in Eukaryota, Metazoa, Arthropoda, Insecta, Lepidoptera, Bombycidae.